CAAUAGCGUAUAUUAAAGUUGUUGCGGUUAAAAAGCUCGUAGUUGGAUUUCUACCGAAGACAGCCGGUCCACACUACGUGUGCGCAUCUGGUGUGACUUCGGUAUCCUCAUGGAGAACAGUUCUGCACUUUAUUGUGUGGACUGGUAUUCAUGACUUUUACUUUGAGGAAAUUAGAGUGUUCACGGCAGGCAAUCGCCCUGAAUACAUUAGCAUGGAAUAAUAAUAUAGGACUUCGGCCCUACUUUUGUUUGGUUUCUAGAGCUGAAGUAAUGAUUAAUAGGGACACUUGGGGGCGAUUCGUUAUUAUUCACGUCAGAAGGUGGAAUU
RNAcentral lists this ribosomal RNA (328 nucleotides) under uncultured eukaryote. Its description in RNAcentral is "SSU rRNA". It matches the Rfam family "Eukaryotic small subunit ribosomal RNA", at positions 592 to 918 of the family's 1831-position model. The record is from RNAcentral.